Molecule: ribosomal RNA, 492 nt
Filed under: uncultured bacterium
Lineage: Bacteria
Description: partial 16S ribosomal RNA
Rfam family: Bacterial small subunit ribosomal RNA
Source: RNAcentral
AGUGAACGCUGGCGAUAGGCCUAACACAUGCAAGUCGAACGGCAGCACAGUAAGAGCUUGCUCUUACGGGUGGCGAGUGGCGGACGGGUGAGGAAUACAUCGGAAUCUACUUUUUCGUGGGGGAUAACGUAGGGAAACUUACGCUAAUACCGCAUACGACCUACGGGUGAAAGCAGGGGAUCUUCGGACCUUGCGCGAUUGAAUGAGCCGAUGUCGGAUUAGCUAGUUGGCGGGGUAAAGGCCCACCAAGGCGACGAUCCGUAGCUGGUCUGAGAGGAUGAUCAGCCACACUGGAACUGAGACACGGUCCAGACUCCUACGGGAGGCAGCAGUCGGGAAUAUUGGACAAUGGGCGCAAGCCUGAUCCAGCCAUACCGCGUGGGUGAAGAAGGCCUUCGGGUUGUAAAGCCCUUUUGUUGGGAAAGAAAAGCAGCAGGUUAAUACCCCGCUGUUCUGACGGUACCCAAAGAAUAAGCACCGGCUAACUUCGUG